This is a long non-coding RNA of Vidua chalybeata, 557 nucleotides long. RefSeq lists it as uncharacterized. The record is from RefSeq and is a predicted model, not a curated record. The transcript is spliced from 4 exons. NCBI's taxonomy places the organism in Eukaryota, Metazoa, Chordata, Aves, Passeriformes, Viduidae.
ACAAAGAGCCAAGACCACUGGAAUUAAAAAACCUCUGUGAUCCAGUAUAAUCAUACUGGGAGAAGGGAAAAUGGUGAUGAAAUGCGCAGUCAGCAGUCUGGAUUGCAGUGAAUCUUCAACAAGAGGAAAAAAUCCAGUAUAGCAGCCAAGGCUAUGGAAGGCUGGGAAGUGUGAGAGUUGGUGGCCAGGCCUGCACAGUUCUGAGCUGCCUGUGUUUAACUAGUCCCCAUGUAACAUCCUAUUGAGUGUGUGACCAUUUCCCUGGAAAAGCAACUCUCUUUCUGAGAGCUGGAGAAGAGGCUGCAGGUACUAGAGCCGUGAAUUCCCUAGCCUCUUCCCUCUCAGCGUGGGAGAUGUCCAGACAAGCAUUUUGAGGUGUAUAAUUCUCAGCAGGCACCACCUGGGGAGCCUUAAUGUUGGACUUAGAAUUUUACAUUUUGUUCUGGUGACCAAACUCCUAAAUUCAAGCUAUUAAAUUGCAAAGUCUUCUUACUGGAUCUAGUCACAGCCUCCAAGCCUAUUUUGCUGGUCUGCUCCAGAAAAUGGCAGUCACAGCA